RNAcentral lists this RNase P RNA (459 nucleotides) under Caldifarciminota bacterium. Its description in RNAcentral is "candidate division WOR-3 bacterium (hot springs metagenome) RNase P RNA component class A". It matches the Rfam family "Bacterial RNase P class A". Rfam says of the family: Ribonuclease P (RNase P) is a ubiquitous endoribonuclease, found in archaea, bacteria and eukarya as well as chloroplasts and mitochondria. Its best characterised activity is the generation of mature 5'-ends of tRNAs by cleaving the 5'-leader elements of precursor-tRNAs. Lineage: Bacteria; Pseudomonadati; Caldifarciminota. The record is from RNAcentral.
UAAGAGGGGAGAAGUGGUCGCCCUGAAGAUUUCAGGGAGGAAAGUCCGGACACCUUCAGGCAGGAUGCCUCAGGAGGUUUUUACCAACUGAGGGGGCUUACCCGAAAUGGUAAGUCACGGAAAGUGCCACAGAAAAUAUACCGCCCUUUCAAACCCAAGAAAAUCUGGCGAUUUUCUUGGGAACCCCGAAAAAAUUAAUUUUUAAAGGGGUCCCUAAAAAGUCGUAAGACUUUUUGGGGUAAAAGGGGUAAGGGUGAAAAGGUGAGGUAAGAGCUCACCGCUUGAGUGGUAACACUCAAGGCAGGGCAAACCCCAUCCGGUGCAAGACCAAGCAGGGGAUGGCUUUAAGCGGAGUUUGCCUGAACUCCUGGUUUAUACCACAUCCCCGGGUAGGUCGCAUUAGAGCAAUGACCACAUGGGUUUAUCCCAACAGAAUCCGGCUUACUCCCCUCUUUUUAC